GACGAACGCUGGCGGCGUGCUUAACACAUGCGAGUCGAACGGAAAGGCCCUGCUUUUGUGGGGUGCUCGAGUGGCGAACGGGUGAGUAACACGUGAGUAACCUGCCCUUGACUUUGGGAUAACUUCAGGAAACUGGGGCUAAUACCGGAUAGGAGCUCCUGCUGCAUGGUGGGGGUUGGAAAGUUUCGGCGGUUGGGGAUGGACUCGCGGCUUAUCAGCUUGUUGGUGGGGUAGUGGCUUACCAAGGCUUUGACGGGUAGCCGGCCUGAGAGGGUGACCGGCCACAUUGGGACUGAGAUACGGCCCAGACUCCUACGGGAGGCAGCAGUGGGGAAUAUUGCACAAUGGGCGGAAGCCUGAUGCAGCAACGCCGCGUGCGGGAUGACGGCCUUCGGGUUGUAAACCGCUUGCGCCUGUGACGAAGCGUGAGUGACGGUAAUGGGUAAAGAAGCACCGGCUAACUACGUG
RNAcentral lists this ribosomal RNA (468 nucleotides) under uncultured bacterium. Its description in RNAcentral is "partial 16S ribosomal RNA". It matches the Rfam family "Bacterial small subunit ribosomal RNA", at positions 28 to 507 of the family's 1533-position model. The record is from RNAcentral.